This is a long non-coding RNA of Dromaius novaehollandiae (emu), 2211 nucleotides long. RefSeq lists it as uncharacterized. NCBI's taxonomy places the organism in Eukaryota, Metazoa, Chordata, Aves, Casuariiformes, Dromaiidae. The record is from RefSeq and is a predicted model, not a curated record. The transcript is spliced from 3 exons.
UAUAAAAAUUGAAGUCCUCACCACAAAUCUGUAAAAAUGUUUCCACUUGCAUUGGAAGACAAAAAUAGAAUAAUUCCAUGUCUUUUUGGACGGAUGCCUAGCUGAAACUAUGCAGGGUUUGACUGACAAGAGGAUGUAGUCUUUGCUGAGAGCACUUUCUUCAAGGUCCUUUUUAGUCUUCAGGAAUUUUUAAGUAGAUGAAUGAAGAGAGGAUUUACGCUAGUUUCCCUUCAUUUUUGUUACCUUUGUCUGCUUUUUUUUGUAACUUUUGUCUUGCGCAACAAAAUCUUUCCAGCUCCUCGGGUUUACUGAAUAUAUAAUCACAAGCGGGUAAAACUGUUUUGUUCUAUGUGACUGAAAGUGCAUGGAAUGGAUUUGAAGCUGGAGAUUUAAGUGUCUUGAAUGAAGACUGUUAUGCUCCUCCAAACCAACAUUGAGGGAAUGGACACACAGAUAAUUUGGCUGAAGAAAAUGAGAUGAGGAUGCUAAAGAGGAAAUAAGGUUGCUUGAAGGAUGAAACUGACCCAUCACUGUACUGUAUAAGUAUUUUCUUGUAUUAACUCAUAGGCUUCAGUAGCUAUUAAAUAUACUAAAUAUAAGUAAUGAUAACUCUAGAUUUUGGAGAAAUAAUGAAGAGCAACUUCAUGUGCCAAAUUAAUCUGUUUAUUACUUGCUAUAGAUUUGAUUCCAUAAACAAAGUGCCUAUCAGCAGAGAUGAGAUCAUAUCUUAAAAUCCAAACAAACUCUGUACUGGAUCCAGGUCUCCGUAAAACAAUGCCUGCCUCCCUCUGACCUGGCUGCUUUUUAAAAGAAGACUUCAGCUCAGUGCCUGUUCCCUGUUUUUUUCUCAGGAAGCAUCAGCUGCCCAGGGAAAGCACAAAGGACACAGAUGAGGGUCUUCAUACAGCGGAAACCUGUAUUUUGGUUCCAUCUCUUUGAUUCAUUGAGGCUAAACUAUUUCACUUUUUUUUUCAGUAAAAACAAAAGUACGUUUGUGACAGAGUUCUUAAACUUUGACUACCAUGGAAUGUAAUGGCCUCAAACUGGGGCCAAACUUUGUUCUGCCUUGCACUUAGGUAACUGCAGUAUUUAUGGUAGCUUGCAAUCACAGUGCAGGCUACCAUUUUUCCCUUUUAAAAAGCUAUCGUUUCUCAGUGCUAACUACAAUAUCUGAGAUACCACAAUUAUGCCUAUACACAGAAAGGGGAAAUAGCUGUAGCACAUCACCUGUUGCAAUGUGGUGAAUGUAGGGAAAUAUAUUGGGGUUUCUGUGAUUACUGUUUUUAUGGAGCCAAAUUCUCCUGUCUGAGGAGAGAAUUUGGUCCAUUGCUGUAACUGUAACGCCUUUCCUAUGAAGUCUUCAGUUCAGCUAUUAAUUUUUUAACUGACGGAUACAUAUGUGUGGGAAGCUACAUAUCAUAUGAAUUGUUCCAAACUAAGUUAGUGACAUGCCUAGAGUCUCAUUUAGUCAUAAGCACAUGUGAGAAUAACACCCCGGAGUGCUGAAGGACACUAUCUUAUUCUAACUAGGCAAUGGUCUCAAACAAUUAAGUUAAAGCAGAUGUGCAAUGAGACCACUUCCUACAGGCACUGUUAAAACAGCAGGUUGGCUUGUCAGGCCUGGAAAAAUUGUGCUGUGUUGGUUUUUUGUUUGUUCCGAUCUGCUCUCUGACUUCCUGGAAUUUGCAGAGUUUAAACUCAAAUAUGUGGCACCUGAAAGCAAAGUAGGAAUAAAUCCCUAUCUUGCCUUGAUGUCAUGAGUUUGCUAUUUAUUUUUUCAGGCAAUGUGCAAUCUGCAUAUGACACAUUGCAAGUGGGAAGAGACAGGUUUCGUCACUGUCUGGUCUCUGAGAUGCUGGGUGCUUGGUGGUCUUGGUGUUGUGGAAACUGAGGGAUAUUUACAGAUGGAUUUGGAUGUAUAAGAUCUGCUGCAAAAAUAGAUGCAAUUUUAAUAUAACCUUACACAAGAGAUUUAUAAAUUCUUCUGCCUUUUACCAGUGAAUUAACUAGGGAUGUUGAAAAGUUAUGUCAAUCUCCAGUUUGCCAAAAGCAGCAGGGAAAAACUGCAGACAGCUUUCUACUCUUCUAGAACUGAUUUGUCAAGCUUUUUCUUUUCUUGAGAUGAGAUUUGCACAGUGGCGUUGAUUUGUUGGUCAUUACACAAAUGUACUACAAAAUCACUGUUCUUUGGCUUAUAUUUUUUUAUGUUAA